Molecule: transfer RNA, 88 nt
Filed under: Kosmotogaceae bacterium
Lineage: Bacteria; Thermotogati; Thermotogota; Thermotogae; Kosmotogales; Kosmotogaceae
Description: tRNA-Leu
Rfam family: tRNA
About the family: Transfer RNA (tRNA) molecules are approximately 80 nucleotides in length. Their secondary structure includes four short double-helical elements and three loops (D, anti-codon, and T loops). Further hydrogen bonds mediate the characteristic L-shaped molecular structure. tRNAs have two regions of fundamental functional importance: the anti-codon, which is responsible for specific mRNA codon recognition, and the 3' end, to which the tRNAs corresponding amino acid is attached (by aminoacyl-tRNA synthetases). tRNAs cope with the degeneracy of the genetic code in two manners: having more than one tRNA (with a specific anti-codon) for a particular amino acid; and 'wobble' base-pairing, i.e. permitting non-standard base-pairing at the 3rd anti-codon position.
Source: RNAcentral
GCCGGGGUGGCGGAAUUGGCAGACGCGCAUGAUUCAGGUUCAUGUGGGCAUAUCGCCUGUGCGGGUUCAAGUCCCGCCUCCGGCACCA